UCAUCACCAUCAUCAUCCUGAUUGAUCUUUCGGGAGGAUACGUAUCGCCCUGGAAGAUCGCAUAAUCUUCCAGAGGCUAGCAAGGAUUGCGCCAUUAUAGCCCUCGGAAGAGAACUUCAUCUUCCGAGGGCUUUUCAGU
Photobacterium damselae subsp. damselae CIP 102761 is the source of this 139-nucleotide regulatory RNA element. It matches the Rfam family "Histidine operon leader". Rfam says of the family: At least 6 amino acid operons are known to be regulated by attenuation. In each a leader sequence of 150-200 bp is found upstream of the first gene in the operon. This leader sequence can assume two different secondary structures known as the terminator and the anti-terminator structure. The record is from Rfam. NCBI's taxonomy places the organism in Bacteria, Pseudomonadati, Pseudomonadota, Gammaproteobacteria, Vibrionales, Vibrionaceae.